Drosophila ficusphila is the source of this 610-nucleotide long non-coding RNA. RefSeq lists it as uncharacterized. The record is from RefSeq and is a predicted model, not a curated record. NCBI's taxonomy places the organism in Eukaryota, Metazoa, Arthropoda, Insecta, Diptera, Drosophilidae. The transcript has 3 exons.
CAGCUAAUACACUUGUUUCAAAAGCAAACAAAAGAAAAUCUAAAUUUUCGGUCAACAUUUUUGUGAUAAGUUUGAAUUUAGUUUUAAGCAUAAAGUGAAUUUUGUUAUGUCAAACAGCCUCGUCAUCAUCUAAACAAUUAACGCAAGGCAUGGUAUUUAAAUAGCAAACGUAUAAACAGUCAAGCCACCACAAGAUGUUCAAAACAUUAGAGCCUAAAGAUUGUCAUCAUCUAACUAAAUAGAAAAUACUGCAGUCAAAUAUAUAGUCAAUUGGUCUAUAUUGGUCACUACGAAAAAUAUUACAUGGAUGUUCACAAUCUGGUCAAACAUAAAAAAAAACUGGAAAACAAAGCUUUUCAAAAUUAUUCGUACGCAAAAGAAGCCAAAAUCGCCUGUUUAAACCAAAUGGCAAACAAAUCCAUAAAAUAUCGAUAAAAAUGGAAGUCAAACCACCGAGCUGUGCACCACCACAAUCUACUAACCACUAUAUUGGAUCUUGUCCCUGCUCUUUGUGUCCGGCACUACUAUUGUCUACUUUAUGGCCAUCUAUUUGUGAGGACACUAUCUAACAAAAAUACACUUGCAUAGAAGCAAACUUCCAUCUUUGGUC